AACUAACGCUGGCGGCGUGCCUAACACAUGCAAGUCGUACGAGAAAGUUGGCUUCGGCCGAUGAGUAAAGUGGCGCACGGGUGAGUAAUGCGUGGAUAAUCUGCCCUUUAGUUGGGAAUAACGUACCGAAAGGUGCGCUAAUACCCGGUAAUACUGCAUAACUACUGUUGUGUAGUCAAAGAAGGCCUCUGUUUACAAGCUUUUGCUGAAGGAUGAGUCCGCGUACCAUUAGCUAGUUGGUGGGGUAAUGGCCUACCAAGGCUACGAUGGUUAGCUGGUCUGAGAGGAUGAUCAGCCACACUGGAACUGAGACACGGUCCAGACUCCUACGGGAGGCAGCAGUGAGGAAUAUUGCGCAAUGGGGGCAACCCUGACGCAGCAACGCCGCGUGAGUGAGGAAGGUUUUCGGACCGUAAAGCUCUGUCGAGCGGGGAGAAAUGCAUGGUGGCUAAUAUCCAUCAUGCUUGACGGUACCGCUAAAGGAAGCACCGG
RNAcentral lists this ribosomal RNA (492 nucleotides) under uncultured bacterium. RNAcentral's name for it is "bacterial SSU rRNA". It matches the Rfam family "Bacterial small subunit ribosomal RNA", at positions 29 to 496 of the family's 1533-position model. The record is from RNAcentral.